UGUGUCUCUCAUGAUGUUAGCGGCGGAGGGGGGAGUAGCACGUGAGUCACCCGGCUGUAGGACUGGGAUAACUCCGGGAAACCGGGGCUAAUACCGGAUGGUUGUUUGAACCGCAUGGUUCCUACAUAAAAGGGGGCUUCGGCUACCACUUACAGAUGGACCCGCGGCGCAUUAGCUAGUUGGUGAGGUAACGGCUCACCAAGGCGACGAUGCGUAGCCGACCUGAGAGGGUGAUCGGCCACACUGGGACUGAGACACGGCCCAAACUCCUACGGGAGGCAGCAGUAGGGAAUCUUCCGCAAUGAACGAAAGUCUGACGGAGCGACGCCGCGGGAGUGAUGAAGGUUUUCGGAUCGUAAAGCUCUGUUGUUAGGGAAAAACAAGUGCCGUUCUAAUAGCGUGGCCCCUUGACGGAACCUAACCAAAAUCCCCCGGCUAACUCCGGGCCAGCAGCCGGGGGAAUACGUAGGUGGCAAGUGUUGUCCGGAAUUAUUGGGCGAAAAGGUUUCGAAGGCGGUUUCUUCUGGGCGUAAAGGCGCUCGCUAGGCUGGUUUUCUUUAAAGUUCUUGAUGUGAAAGUCCCCCGGCUCAACCCGGGGGAGGGGUCAUUUGGAAACUGGGCGAACUUAGAGUGCUAGAUAGAGGAGAGUGGAAUUUCACUGUGUAGCGGUGAAAUGCGUAGAGAUGUGGGAGGAACACCCAGUGGCGAAGGCGACUCUCUGGUCUGUAUACUGACGCUGAGGAGCGAAAGCGUGGGGAGCGAACAGGAUUAGAUACCCUGGUAGUCCACGCCGUAAACGAUGAGUGCUAAGUGUUAGGGAGGUUUCCGCUCCUUAGUGCUGCAGCUAACGCAUUAAAGCACUCCCCCUGGGGAGUACGGUCGCAAGACUGAAACUCAAAGGAAUUGACGGGGGCCCGCCCAAGCGGGGGGAGCAUGUGGUUUAUUUCGAAGCAACGCGAAGACCCUUCCCAGGUCUUGACUUCCUCUGACAAUCCUAGAGAUAGGACGUCCCCUUCGGGGCCAGAGUGACAGGUGGUGCAUGGUUGUCGUCAGCUCGUGUCGUGAGAUGUUGGGUUAAGUCCCGCAACGAGCGCAACCCUUGAUUUUAGUUGCCAGCAUUCAGUUGGGCCCUUUAAGGGAGCCUCCGGUGGCCAACCGGAGGAAGGUGGGGAAGGCGUCCAAUUCUCCUUGCCCUUAUGGCCUGGGCUACCCCCCUGCUUCCAUGGACAGAACCAAGGGCAGCGCAACCCCGAGGUUGAACCAAUUCCCCAAAUCUGUUUUCAAUUCGGAUUGCAGUUUGCCACUUGGCUGCGUGAAACUGGAAUCGCUAGUAAUCGCGGAUCAACAAUGCCCGGUGGAUUCGUUUCCGGGCCUUGUUCCCCCCGCGCGUC
This 1391-nucleotide ribosomal RNA is filed under the name Bacillus sp. (in: firmicutes). RNAcentral describes it as "bacterial SSU rRNA". It matches the Rfam family "Bacterial small subunit ribosomal RNA", at positions 75 to 1398 of the family's 1533-position model. Lineage: Bacteria; Bacillati; Bacillota; Bacilli; Caryophanales; Bacillaceae. The record is from RNAcentral.